RNAcentral lists this long non-coding RNA (203 nucleotides) under Rattus norvegicus (Norway rat). RNAcentral's name for it is "long non-coding RNA NONRATT033809". Lineage: Eukaryota; Metazoa; Chordata; Mammalia; Rodentia; Muridae. The record is from RNAcentral.
UAAAGAAAAUGCUGCAUGUGUCCUAAGAUUACAGAAAGAAGAGGGCUCCUAGAAGUUUCAAAAAAAAAGAGUAAUCGUAACACAUGGUUGUGAAGCUCUUGUUUUCAAAGCCAAGCUGGCCAGCCAGGACAUGAGUAAGUGAGUUAGUCAACAACACAGCUUCUCUGGCUUGAGAAGUGAAAUAGGUACCUGCUUACUAAAAC